This 253-nucleotide ribosomal RNA is filed under the name uncultured bacterium. RNAcentral describes it as "partial 16S ribosomal RNA". It matches the Rfam family "Bacterial small subunit ribosomal RNA", at positions 524 to 776 of the family's 1533-position model. The record is from RNAcentral.
UACGGAGGGGGCUAGCGUUAUUCGGAAUUAUUGGGCGUAAAGGGCGCGUAGGCGGCUUGCCAAGUCAGGGGUGAAAUCCUGCAGCUUAACUGUAGAAGGGCCUUUGAUACUGGCGAGCUCGAGGGAGGUAGGGGUAUGUGGAACUUCCGGUGGAGCGGUGAAAUGCGUUGAUAUCGGAAGGAACGCCGGUGGCGAAAGCGACGUACUGGACCUCUUCUGACGCUGAGGCGCGAAAGCUAGGGGAGCGAACGGG